GCUGGCUCCGUUAUGGCGGCCCGCAGCCCCAGCGUGGUGAUUAGCGAUGAUGAACCAGGUUAUGACCUAGAUUUAUUUUGUAAACCCAAUCAUUAUGCUGAGGAUUUGGAAAAGGUGUUCAUUCCUCAUGGACUAAUUAUGGACAGGACCGAACGACUGGCUCGAGAUGUGAUGAAGGAGAUGGGUGGCCAUCACAUUGUGGCCCUCUGUGUGCUCAAGGGGGGCUAUAAGUUCUUUGCCGACCUGUUGGAUUACAUCAAAGCACUGAACAGAAAUAGUGACAGAUCCAUUCCUAUGACUGUAGAUUUUAUCAGACUGAAGAGCUACUGUAACGACCAGUCAACAGGCGACAUAAAAGUAAUUGGUGGAGAUGAUCUCUCAACUUUAACUGGAAAGAACGUCUUGAUUGUCGAAGAUAUAAUUGACACUGGGAAGGCAAUGCAGACUUUGCUUUCCUUGGUCAAGAAGCAUAAGCCAAAGAUGGUCAAGGUUGCGAGCUUGCUGGUGAAAAGGACCCCUCGAAGUGUUGGAUAUAGACCAGACUUUGUUGGAUUUGAAAUUCCAGACAAGUUUGUUGUGGGAUAUGCCCUUGACUAUAAUGAAUACUUCAGGGACUUGAAUCACGUGUGUGUCAUUAGCAAAACUGGAAAAGCAAAAUACAAAGCCUAAGAUGAGAGUUCGAGUUGAGUUUGGAAAUACCUGGCAUCCCAUUGAAAUCACCAGUGACAUGAUCCAAUGUUCUCAUUCUGUGGCCAGCUGCUUAGUAGAGCUUAUUGCAUGUAUCUCCUAAGAAUUCGAUCUGUUUUGUAUUUUAGAAAUGUCAGUUGCUGCAUUCCUGAACUCUUCAUUUGCACUACGAGCCUAAAGACUAUCAGUUCCCUUUGGGUAGAUUGUUGUUUGACUUGUGAAUGAAAUAUCUCUUAAACCACACCACUAUUGACUGAAAAUAUGGAAAUUGUAUCUGUAAGAAACAUUUAAAGAGAAGAAUAUAUUAGUUUUUUAAUUGGUAUUUUAAUUUUUUAUAUAUUCAGGAAAGAACAGAAGUGAUUGAAUAUUGUUAACUAUACCACUGUGUGUUUA
Capra hircus (goat) is the source of this 1080-nucleotide RNA transcript. It is a transcript of the gene named hypoxanthine-guanine phosphoribosyltransferase pseudogene, with no coding region annotated. The transcript has a single exon. NCBI's taxonomy places the organism in Eukaryota, Metazoa, Chordata, Mammalia, Artiodactyla, Bovidae. The record is from RefSeq and is a predicted model, not a curated record.